This 407-nucleotide ribosomal RNA is filed under the name uncultured bacterium. RNAcentral describes it as "partial 16S ribosomal RNA". It matches the Rfam family "Bacterial small subunit ribosomal RNA", at positions 28 to 526 of the family's 1533-position model. The record is from RNAcentral.
GAUGAACGCUAGCGAUAGGCUUAACACAUGCAAGUCGAGGGACCGGCGCACGGGUGCGUAACGCGUAUGCAACUUGCCUCACAGAGGGGGAUAACCCGUCGAAAGACGGACUAAUACCGCGUACUGUGAGAUAGGCAUGCGUCCCAUUAGAUAGUUGGUGAGGUAACGGCUCACAAAGGAAACGAUGGGUAGGGGAACUGAGUGGUAGAACAACCAUAAUGGUACUGAGAGACGGACCACGCAACUACGGGAGGCAGAAGUGAGAAAAAUUGGUCAAUGGGCGAAAGCCGGAACCAGCCAAGUCGCGUAGAGGAUUACUGUCUAUGGAUUGUAAACUGCUUUUGUAGGGGAAUAUGUACCCUACGAAUAAGCAUCGGCUAACUCCGUGCCAGCAGCCGCGGUAAUAC